GUGCUCACUUUGGAAGCACAUAUACUAAGAUCAGAGCCGUGCAGAGAUGAUUAGCAUGGCCCCGUGCAAAGAUGACACAUAAAAUGGUCUGUGUUUUUUUUUU
Molecule: small nuclear RNA, 103 nt
Organism: Arvicola amphibius (Eurasian water vole)
Lineage: Eukaryota; Metazoa; Chordata; Mammalia; Rodentia; Cricetidae
Source: RefSeq, a predicted model, not a curated record